Long non-coding RNA from Bombyx mori (domestic silkworm), 719 nucleotides. RefSeq lists it as uncharacterized. The record is from RefSeq and is a predicted model, not a curated record. NCBI's taxonomy places the organism in Eukaryota, Metazoa, Arthropoda, Insecta, Lepidoptera, Bombycidae. The transcript is spliced from 2 exons.
UAAUGGCACACUGUUCACUAGCACAUUCCAAAUGUUACGGGUGUUCAGUCGAAUAGUUCGGCGGCGCUUAAAAACGUUUUUACCUAUACACGUCGGUGUCGGAUCAUGGAAGCAUUUCUUUUGCUGCUGAGAUAACGUAGCCGUCACGAGACGUUUUGUAAUUAUGCAAUAUGAAAACGCAAGCGACCGAUAUCCGAAGCAAUAAGUUAGUUUCUGUUACGGGACCGAGAUACGCGUAGUGUAUCGCGUGUCUGGUUUUAACUAUUCGACUCUACCGCAACAUAUAAGAUUCAUAUUCAUACAGACGGCAUUUACUUAAAAAUAUUUCGUACAUCUUUAACACUUUUAACACCUUUUGUCGUUUAAAUCGUGUCCGCUUAAUUCGGUCGAAACGAGCGCGUAUUCUCGGCGCGGCGUUUAAGUAAUAUUUUCCGUAUUCAUUUAGCCUCGAUUUAUCAUGAGCGAUUACCGUGCGUCGGUCGCACGAUGCGAUACGCUAUAGUCUUGUUUAUUUCUUAACGUUGUAUAGGGACGUGCAUUAUCAACACUCUGCUGCGCUCGAAUCCGGUGUUUUAGAGGGAACAAUGGCACCCUGCAGUGAAUAGCACCAAGAUAAAGUUACAAUUUCAACGAGGAAUCUUCAUAAUGUAUAUAAAUCGUAUUGUUUGUUUUGUAUUAUAAUUAAAUUGUUGGUAUUGUAAUAAAAUUAUUUAAAACCA